RNAcentral lists this ribosomal RNA (959 nucleotides) under uncultured Actinomycetes bacterium. Its description in RNAcentral is "bacterial SSU rRNA". It matches the Rfam family "Bacterial small subunit ribosomal RNA", at positions 364 to 1336 of the family's 1533-position model. Lineage: Bacteria; Bacillati; Actinomycetota; Actinomycetes. The record is from RNAcentral.
UUGCGCAAUGGGCGAAAGCCUGACGCAGCGACGCCGCGUGAGGGACGAAGGCCUUCGGGUUGUAAACCUCUUUCAGCAGGGACGAAGCGUGAGUGACGGUACCUGCAGAAGAAGCACCGGCCAACUACGUGCCAGCAGCCGCGGUAAUACGUAGGGUGCAAGCGUUGUCCGGAAUUAUUGGGCGUAAAGAGCUCGUAGGCGGUUUGUCGCGUCGACUGUGAAAACCCGAGGCUUAACCUCGGGCCUGCAGUCGAUACGGGCAGACUAGAGGUAUGCAGGGGAGAACGGAAUUCCUGGUGUAGCGGUGAAAUGCGCAGAUAUCAGGAGGAACACCGGUGGCGAAGGCGGGUCUCUGGGCCGAUACUGACGCUGAGGAGCGAAAGCGUGGGGAGCGAACAGGAUUAGAUACCCUGGUAGUCCACGCCGUAAACGUUGGGCGCUAGGUGUGGGGGUCAUUCCACGAGUUCCGUGCCGCAGCUAACGCAUUAAGCGCCCCGCCUGGGGAGUACGGCCGCAAGGCUAAAAUUCAWAGGAAUUGACGGGGGCCCGCACAAGCGGCGGAGCAUGCGGCUUAAUUCGACGCAACGCGAAGAACCUUACCAAGGCUUGACAUACGCUGAAAUCCUCCAGAGAUGGGGGGUCCGUAAGGGCAGUGUACAGGUGGUGCAUGGUUGUCGUCAGCUCGUGUCGUGAGAUGUUGGGUUAAGUCCCGCAACGAGCGCAACCMUCGUUCUAUGUUGCCAGCGGGUUAUGCCGGGGACUCAUAGGAGACUGCCGGGGUCAACUCGGAGGAAGGUGGGGAUGACGUCAAAUCAUCAUGCCCCUUAUGUCCAGGGCUGCACGCAUGCUACAAUGGCCAGUACAAAGGGCUGCGAUUCCGUAAGGUUGAGCGAAUCCCAAAAAGCUGGUCUCAGUUCGGAUUGGGGUCUGCAACUCGACCCCAUGAAGUCGGAGUCGCU